Molecule: ribosomal RNA, 490 nt
Filed under: uncultured bacterium
Lineage: Bacteria
Description: bacterial SSU rRNA
Rfam family: Bacterial small subunit ribosomal RNA
Source: RNAcentral
GAUGAACGCUAGCGAUAGGCCUAACACAUGCAAGUCGAGGGGCAGCACAUGAAGUAGCAAUACGGAUGGUGGCGACCGGCGCACGGGUGAGUAACGCGUAUGCAAUCUACCUACAACAAGGGGAUAACCCGUUGAAAGACGGACUAAUACCCUAUAAUACAGGGGUCCCGCAUGGGAAUAUUUGUUAAAGAUUUAUCGGUUGUAGAUGAGCAUGCGUUCCAUUAGCUAGUUGGUGAGGUAACGGCCCACCAAGGCAACGAUGGAUAGGGGAACUGAGAGGUUUAUCCCCCACACUGGUACUGAGAUACGGACCAGACUCCUACGGGAGGCAGCAGUGAGGAAUAUUGGUCAAUGGGCGCAAGCCUGAACCAGCCAUCCCGCGUGCAGGAAGACGGCCCUAUGGGUUGUAAACUGCUUUUCCAGGGGGUGAAACUCCCGUACGUGUACGGGACUGACGGUACCCUGGGAAUAAGCAUCGGCUAACUCCGUG